UAAUACGUAGGCAGCAAGCGUUGUUCGGAAUUACUGGGCGUAAAGCGUGUGUAGGCGGUGUCAUAAGUUUGGUGUGAAAUCUCCCGGCUUAACUGGGAGGGUGCGCCGAAGACUGUGAUGCUCGAGUGUGGGAGAGGUAAGCGGAAUUCCUGGUGUAGCGGUGAAAUGCGUAGAUAUCAGGAGGAACACCUGUGGUGUAGACGGCUUACUGGACCACGACUGACGCUGAGACACGAAAGUGUGGGGAGCAAACAGGAUUAGAUACCCUGGUAGUCCACACCCUAAACGAUGCAUACUUGGUGUGAGCCAUUCAUUUGGUUUGUGCCGGAGCUAACGCGUUAAGUAUGCCGCCUGGGGAGUACGGUCGCAAGGCUG
This 375-nucleotide ribosomal RNA is filed under the name uncultured bacterium. Its description in RNAcentral is "bacterial SSU rRNA". It matches the Rfam family "Bacterial small subunit ribosomal RNA", at positions 521 to 896 of the family's 1533-position model. The record is from RNAcentral.